Molecule: ribosomal RNA, 301 nt
Filed under: uncultured bacterium
Lineage: Bacteria
Description: partial 16S ribosomal RNA
Rfam family: Bacterial small subunit ribosomal RNA
Source: RNAcentral
CAGUCGCCGCGGUAAUACGAAGGGGGCUAGCGUUGUUCGGAUUUACUGGGCGUAAAGCGCACGUAGGCGGAUCGAUCAGUCAGGGGUGAAAUCCCAGAGCUCAACUCUGGAACUGCCUUUGAUACUGUCGAUCUGGAGUAUGGAAGAGAUGAGUGGAAUUCCGAGUGUAGAGGUGAAAUUCGUAGAUAUUCGGAGGAACACCAGUGGCGAAGGCGGCUCACUGGUCCAUUACUGACGCUGAGGUGCGAAAGCGUGGGGAGCAAACAGGAUUAGAUACCCCCGUAGUCCCUGUCUCUUAUAC